GUUGGGCAUGGUGGUGCAUGCCUGUAAUUCCAGCUACUUGGAGGCAGAGGCAGGAGGAUUGCAAGUUUGAGGUCAGCCUGGACAACUUACUGCAACCUUGUCUUAA
Molecule: small RNA, 106 nt
Filed under: Marmota monax (woodchuck)
Lineage: Eukaryota; Metazoa; Chordata; Mammalia; Rodentia; Sciuridae
Source: RNAcentral